This 434-nucleotide ribosomal RNA is filed under the name uncultured Planctomycetota bacterium. Its description in RNAcentral is "bacterial SSU rRNA". It matches the Rfam family "Bacterial small subunit ribosomal RNA", at positions 329 to 762 of the family's 1533-position model. The record is from RNAcentral. Lineage: Bacteria; Pseudomonadati; Planctomycetota.
UGCACCACUCCUACGGGAGGCAGCAGUCGAGAAUCUUCGGCAAUGGGCGCAAGCCUGACCGAGCGACGCCGCGUGCGGGAUGAAGGCCUUCGGGUUGUAAACCGCUGUCGUAGGGGAGGAAGAUCCUGUGAAGAACAGGGUUUGACCGAUCCUAGGAGGAAGGGCCGGCUAAUCUCGUGCCAGCAGCCGCGGUAAUACGAGAGGCCCAAACGUUAUUCGGAUUUACUGGGCUUAAAGAGUCCGUAGGCGGCGCAGAAAGUGGGGUGUGAAAUCCCUCGGCUCAACCGAGGAAUUGCGCUCCAAACUCCUGUGCUAGAGGAAUCUAGAGGUGAGCGGAACUGAUGGUGGAGCGGUGAAAUGCGUUGAUAUCAUCAGGAACACCGGAGGCGAAGGCGGCUCACUGGGGAUUUUCUGACGCUGAGGGACGAAAGCCA